GACGAACGCUGGCGGCGUGCUUAACACAUGCAAGUCGAACGGAAAGGCCCUGCUUUUGUGGGGUGCUCGAGUGGCGAACGGGUGAGUAACACGUGAGUAACCUGCCCUUGACUUUGGGAUAACUUCAGGAAACUGGGGCUAAUACCGGAUAGGAGCUCCUGCUGCAUGGUGGGGGUUGGAAAGUUUCGGCGGUUGGGGAUGGACUCGCGGCUUAUCAGCUUGUUGGUGGGGUAGUGGCUUACCAAGGCUUUGACGGGUAGCCGGCCUGAGAGGGUGACCGGCCACAUGGGGACUGAGAUACGGCCCAGACUCCUACGGGAGGCAGCAGUGGGGAAUAUUGCACAAUGGGCGGAAGCCUGAUGCAGCAACGCCGCGUGCGGGAUGACGGCCUUCGGGUUGUAAACCGCUUUCGCCUGUGACGAAGCGUGAGUGACGGGAAUGGGUAAAGAAGCACCGGCUAACUACGU
Molecule: ribosomal RNA, 467 nt
Filed under: uncultured bacterium
Lineage: Bacteria
Description: partial 16S ribosomal RNA
Rfam family: Bacterial small subunit ribosomal RNA
Source: RNAcentral